AGCAGCCGCCACGGUAAUACGGAGGGGGCUAGCGUUGUUCGGGAUUACUGGGCGUAAAGCGCACGUAGGCGGCUUGGUAAGUUAGAGGUGAAAGCCUGGAGCUCAACCUGGGAAUUGCAGUGGAUACUGGGUCACUAGAGUGUGGUAGAGGAUAGUGGAAUUUCCGGUGUAGCAGUGAAAUGCGUAGAGAUCGGAAGGAACAUCUGUGGCGAAGGCGACUAUCUGGGCCAACACUGACACUGAGGCACGAAAGCGUGGGGAGCAAACAGGAUUAGAUACCCGUGUAGUCCCUGUCUCUUAUAA
Molecule: ribosomal RNA, 303 nt
Filed under: uncultured bacterium
Lineage: Bacteria
Description: partial 16S ribosomal RNA
Rfam family: Bacterial small subunit ribosomal RNA
Source: RNAcentral